CCUACGGGAGGCUGCAGUGGGGAAUAUUGGACAAUGGGCGAAAGCCUGAUCCAGCCAUGCCGCGUGUGUGAAGAAGGCCUUCGGGUUGUAAAGCACUUUCAGUGGGGAAGAAAGCCUUGGGGCUAAUACCCUCGAGGAAGGACAUCACCCACAGAAGAAGCACCGGCUAACUCCGUGCCAGCAGCCGCGGUAAUACGGAGGGUGCGAGCGUUAAUCGGAAUUACUGGGCGUAAAGCGCGCGUAGGCGGUCUGAUAAGCCGGUUGUGAAAGCCCCGGGCUCAACCUGGGAACGGCAUCCGGAGCUGUCAGGCUAGAGUGCAGGAGAGGAAGGUAGGAGUCCCGGUGUAGCGGUGAAAUGCGUAGAGAUCGGGAGGAAUACCAGUGGCGAAGGCGGCCUUCUGGACUGACACUGACGCUGAGGUGCGAAAGCGUGGGUAGCAAACAGGAUUAGAUACCCGUGUAGUC
RNAcentral lists this ribosomal RNA (465 nucleotides) under Vreelandella stevensii. RNAcentral's name for it is "partial 16S ribosomal RNA". It matches the Rfam family "Bacterial small subunit ribosomal RNA", at positions 338 to 795 of the family's 1533-position model. Lineage: Bacteria; Pseudomonadati; Pseudomonadota; Gammaproteobacteria; Oceanospirillales; Halomonadaceae. The record is from RNAcentral.